GACGAACGCUGGCGGCGUGCUUAACACAUGCAAGUCGAACGAAGUGGCGCACGGGUGAGUAACGCGUCAUCAACCUGCCCUUCAGAGGGGGACAACAGUUGGAAACGACUGCUAAUACCGCAUACUGAAGGAGUGUCUUGCGUCUGGUUAGGUAGUUGGUGGGGUAACGGCCCACCAAGGCGAUGAUCAGGAGCCGGGCUGAGAGGAUGAACGGCCAAAGUGGGACUGAGAAAAGGCCCAGACUCCUACGGGAGGCAGCAGUGGGGAAUCUUCCGAAAUGGACGAAAGUCUGACGGAGCAACGCCGCGUGAGUGAUGACGGCCUUCGGGUUGUAAAGCGCUGUUAAUCGGGACGCGGUACCGGAAUAGAAAGCCACGGCUAACUACGUGCCAGCAGCCGCGGUAAUUC
This 408-nucleotide ribosomal RNA is filed under the name uncultured bacterium. RNAcentral describes it as "partial 16S ribosomal RNA". It matches the Rfam family "Bacterial small subunit ribosomal RNA", at positions 28 to 526 of the family's 1533-position model. The record is from RNAcentral.